GGAUUAGGCAUGCAAGUCGAGCGCUCAUAGCAAUAUGGGAGCGGCGAACGGCGUAGGAAUUCAUAGGAACGUACCCUCAGGACGGGGAUAGCUACGGGAAACUGUAGGUAAUACCCGAUGAUCUCCGCGGAGCAAAGGUGUGAUUCCGCCUGAGGAGCGGCUUAUGCGAUAUUAGCUAGUUGGUGGGGUAAUGGCCUACCAAGGCGAAGAUGUCUAGGGGGUGUGAGAGCAUGGCCCCCACGACCGGAACUGAGAUACUGUCCGGACACCUACGGGUGGCUGCAGUCGAGAAUCUUCCGCAAUGGGCGAAAGCCUGACGGAGCGACGCCGCGUGAGGGAUGAAGGCCUUCGGGUUGUAAAGCCCUGUCGAGGGGGAGAAAAGGGUAAAACUUUGAUCUAUCCCUGGAGGAAGCUCGGGCUAAGUUCGUGCCAGCAGCCGCGGUAAUA
RNAcentral lists this ribosomal RNA (447 nucleotides) under uncultured bacterium. RNAcentral describes it as "bacterial SSU rRNA". It matches the Rfam family "Bacterial small subunit ribosomal RNA", at positions 46 to 525 of the family's 1533-position model. The record is from RNAcentral.